UGUGAACUUUAUGGGGCCAUUUUUGC
Molecule: non-coding RNA, 26 nt
Filed under: Homo sapiens (human)
Lineage: Eukaryota; Metazoa; Chordata; Mammalia; Primates; Hominidae
Source: RNAcentral